This 253-nucleotide ribosomal RNA is filed under the name uncultured bacterium. Its description in RNAcentral is "partial 16S ribosomal RNA". It matches the Rfam family "Bacterial small subunit ribosomal RNA", at positions 524 to 776 of the family's 1533-position model. The record is from RNAcentral.
UACGUAGGGGGCAAGCGUUAUCCGGACUUACUGGGUGUAAAGGGAGCGUAGACAGCGAUGCAAGCCAGAUGUGAAAGCCCGGGGCUCAACCCCGGGACUGCAUUUGGAACUGUAUAGCUAGAGUGUCGGAGAGGCAGGCGGAAUUCCUAGUGUAGCGGUGAAAUGCGUAGAUAUUAGGAGGAACACCAGUGGCGAAGGCGGCCUGCUGGACGAUGACUGACGUUGAGGCUCGAAAGCGUGGGGAGCAAACAGG